RNAcentral lists this ribosomal RNA (170 nucleotides) under Henningsomyces candidus. Its description in RNAcentral is "5.8S ribosomal RNA". It matches the Rfam family "5.8S ribosomal RNA". Rfam says of the family: 5.8S ribosomal RNA (5.8S rRNA) is a component of the large subunit of the eukaryotic ribosome. It is transcribed by RNA polymerase I as part of the 45S precursor that also contains 18S and 28S rRNA. The record is from RNAcentral. Lineage: Eukaryota; Fungi; Basidiomycota; Agaricomycetes; Agaricales; Schizophyllaceae.
UACAACUUUCAGCAACGGAUCUCUUGGCUCUCGUAUCGAUGAAGAACGCAGCGAAAUGCGAUAAGUAAUGUGAAUUGCAGAAUUCAGUGAAUCAUCGAAUCUUUGAACGCACCUUGCACCCUUUGGUAUUCCGAAGGGUAUGCCUGUUUGAGUGUCAUUAAAUUCUCAAA